RNAcentral lists this ribosomal RNA (119 nucleotides) under Pteropus alecto (black flying fox). Lineage: Eukaryota; Metazoa; Chordata; Mammalia; Chiroptera; Pteropodidae. The record is from RNAcentral.
GUCUAUGGUUGUGCUACCCUGAACAAGCCCGAUCCCGUCUGAUCUCGGAAGCUAAGCAGGGUCAGGCCUGGUUAGAACUUGGAUGGGAGACCACCUAGGAAGACCAGGUGCUGUAGGUG